Molecule: long non-coding RNA, 1131 nt
Organism: Gordionus sp. m RMFG-2023
Lineage: Eukaryota; Metazoa; Nematomorpha; Gordioida; Chordodea; Parachordodidae
Exons: 3
Source: RefSeq, a predicted model, not a curated record
UAUAAAAUGCAAUAACGUUUAUUCCGCGUAGUCUCGCUUUUUAACGAUUUAUUAAAAAUCUCUGACUUAUAGAAAAAGGCAGGUCUAUAUAUGACAUCUCAAAUGUCGUACGAUACCUAUAUUAUUCACUUUUAAAUUCGAUACGAACUAGUUUAUUUUUCAAAGAUAAUGUUGUUCACUCCAGUUCGGUAUAAAGUUUAUUACAAAGUUCGAGGAUUAGCACAUAUUGGUAAACAUAAGGUUUAUUAUCCUAUUCAACGAAGAGAUAUCAUUGAUCAAUGGAAUAGAUUAGAUUGUGAAAUGGAGACAAUGAAACACCUUAGCACACCUUAUUUAUCUGAGAAACAAGAAAUGUAUUAUUUGGAAAACAUAAAAGCAAAUAAAUUAUUAAAUGAAAUUAAAGCAAAAUACAAAUCUAAUUUUGUUAAACAUAAAUAUAUUGUAACACAAUUACAAAGUUUAUAUGAAAGUAAAAAGUGGGAAUAAAAUUUAUAACUUAUAUCUUUAAUUUAAGAAAAUAGAAUCAUCUAUUAUAUAUGAUUGCAUUAAAUUAUAAUAUAUAUUUGUUUAAAAUUCCUGACCCCAGAAAUUUUAUAAUUUAAGUUAUAUUAAGUUUUCCUUUAGUGAAUUCUACAAAAAUAAACAAUCUUUGACCUGACCAUUUUAGUUGUUUUUGAUAUUUAUGAUUUUUGAUUUCCUAAGGAUGGCAGGGGCUAAGAUAUAGGUGUUCAAAGUGCAAAAUAUUAUCAAAUCUUGAAAUGCAAAUAAUAGCUUUUUAUUAUUAUGAAAAAAUAAAUUGUCACAAAAAUAUUAAGAGCAAAUAAUGGAAGUUAAUAUAGAAGAAAAUUGGUAUUUAUUUCUCUUUGAUUUAUAUAUACAUUAGAUCAGCACUGAUAUUGGGCUUUUAGAAAAUAUCAGGGCUGUGAACCCUGAACCAGCAGAGUUGGGCAGGUCCUCCUGAAAAAGAAUCUAGAUACAGAUACAGAUUCUUUAUAAAAAAAGGAAUCUUAGAUACAGAUACUAGUAUCUUGUUCAAAAUAUCAAAAAGAUAAAAGAUUCUUGUAUCUUUUACUAAAUUAGAGUAUCUUAAAUACAAGAUACCUUCAAAUUAUCAUUACCAAUUAAAUUAGA